GACGAACGCUGGCGGCGUGCCUAAUACAUGCAAGUAGAGCGCUGAAGGAGGAGCUUGCUUCUCUGGAUGAGUUGCGAACGGGUGAGUAACGCGUAGGUAACCUGCCUGGUAGCGGGGGAUAACUAUUGGAAACGAUAGCUAAUACCGCAUAAGGGUAGAUGUCGCAUGACAUUUGCUUAAAAGGUGCAAUUGCAUCACUACCAGAUGGACCUGCGUUGUAUUAGCUAGUUGGUGAGGUAACGGCUCACCAAGGCAACGAUACAUAGCCGACCUGAGAGGGUGAUCGGCCACACUGGGACUGAGACACGGCCCAGACUCCUACGGGAGGCAGCAGUAGGGAAUCUUCGGCAAUGGACGGAAGUCUGACCGAGCAACGCCGCGUGAGUGAAGAAGGUUUUCGGAUCGUAAAGCUCUGUUGUAAGAGAAGAACGAGUGUGAGAGUGGAAAGUUCACACUGUGACGGUAUCUUACCAGAAAGGGACGGCUAACUACGUG
This 495-nucleotide ribosomal RNA is filed under the name uncultured bacterium. RNAcentral's name for it is "partial 16S ribosomal RNA". It matches the Rfam family "Bacterial small subunit ribosomal RNA", at positions 28 to 507 of the family's 1533-position model. The record is from RNAcentral.